This 831-nucleotide ribosomal RNA is filed under the name uncultured archaeon. Its description in RNAcentral is "bacterial SSU rRNA". It matches the Rfam family "Archaeal small subunit ribosomal RNA", at positions 21 to 859 of the family's 1478-position model. The record is from RNAcentral.
CCUGACUGCUAUCGGAUUGAUACUAAGCCAUGCGAGUCAUUGUAGUAAUACAAGGCAGACGGCUCAGUAACGCGUAGUCAACCUAACCUAUGGACGGGAAUAACCUCGGGAAACUGAGUAUAAUGCCCGAUAGAACAUUAUGCCUGGAAUGGUUUAUGUUCCAAAUGAUUUAUCGCCGUAGGAUGGGACUGCGGCCUAUCAGUUUGUUGGUGAGGUAAUGGCCCACCAAGACUAUUACAGGUACGGGCUCUGAGAGGAGUAGCCCGGAGAUGGGUACUGAGACACGGACCCAGGCCCUAUGGGGCGCAGCAGGCGAGAAAACUUUGCAAUGUGCGAAAGCACGACAAGGUUAAUCCGAGUGGUUUCUGCUAAAGGAACCUUUUGUUAGUCCUAGAAACACUAACGAAUAAGGGGUGGGCAAGUUCUGGUGUCAGCCGCCGCGGUAAAACCAGCACCUCAAGUGGUCAGGAUGAUUAUUGGGCCUAAAGCAUCCGUAGCCGGCUCUGUAAGUUUUCGGUUAAAUCUGUACGCUCAACGUACAGGCCGCCGGGAAUACUGCAGAGCUAGGGAGUGGGAGAGGUAGACGGUACUCGGUAGGAAGGGGUAAAAUCCUUUGAUCUAUUGAUGACCACCUGUGGCGAAGGCGGUCUACCAGAACACGUCCGACGGUGAGGGAUGAAAGCUGGGGGAGCAAACCGGAUUAGAUACCCGGGUAGUCCCAGCUGUAAACUAUGCAAACUCAGUGAUGCAUUGACUUGUGGUCAAUGCAGUGCUGCAGGGAAGCCGUUAAGUUUGCCGCCUGGGAAGUACGUACGCAAGUAUGAAACUUAA